GCCCAGACUCCUACGGGAGGCAGCAGUGGGGGAUAUUGCACAAUGGGGGGAACCCUGAUGCAGCGACGCCGCGUGAGUGAAGAAGUAUUUCGGUAUGUAAAGCUCUAUCAGCAGGGAAGAAAGAGACGAAAGUCUUGUGACAGUACCUGACUAAGAAGCCCCGGCUAACUACGUGCCAGCAGCCGCGGUAAUACGUAGGGGGCAAGCGUUAUCCGGAAUUAUUGGGUGUAAAGGGUGCGUAGACGGGAUAACAAGUUGGUUGUGAAACCCCUCGGCUCAACUGAGGAACUGCAACCAAAACUAUUAUUCUUGAGUGCAGGAGAGGAAAGUGGAAUUCCUAGUGGAGCGGUGAAAUGCGUAGAUAUUAGGAAGAACACCGGUGGCGAAGGCGACUUUCUGGACUGUAACUGACGUUGAGGCACGAAAGUGUGGGGAGCAAACAGGAUUAGAUACCCCAGUAC
RNAcentral lists this ribosomal RNA (461 nucleotides) under uncultured bacterium. Its description in RNAcentral is "partial 16S ribosomal RNA". It matches the Rfam family "Bacterial small subunit ribosomal RNA", at positions 329 to 793 of the family's 1533-position model. The record is from RNAcentral.